This 519-nucleotide ribosomal RNA is filed under the name uncultured bacterium. RNAcentral describes it as "partial 16S ribosomal RNA". It matches the Rfam family "Bacterial small subunit ribosomal RNA", at positions 29 to 507 of the family's 1533-position model. The record is from RNAcentral.
ACGAACGCUGGCGGCGUGCCUAAUACAUGCAAGUCGAACGCACUCUCGUUUAGGUUGAAGGAGUUUGCUCCUGAUUGAUAAACAUUUGAGUGAGUGGCGGACGGGUGAGUAACACGUGGGUAACCUGCCCUAAAGUGGGGGAUAACAUUUGGAAACAGAUGCUAAUACCGCAUAAAACCUAACACCGCAUGGUGUAGGGUUGAAAGAUGGUUUCGGCUAUCACUUUAGGAUGGACCCGCGGUGCAUUAGUUAGUUGGUGAGGUAAAGGCUCACCAAGACCGUGAUGCAUAGCCGACCUGAGAGGGUAAUCGGCCACACUGGGACUGAGACACGGCCCAGACUCCUACGGGAGGCAGCAGUAGGGAAUCUUCCACAAUGGACGAAAGUCUGAUGGAGCAACGCCGCGUGAGUGAAGAAGGUUUUCGGAUCGUAAAACUCUGUUGUUGGAGAAGAAUGUAUCUGAUAGUAACUGAUCAGGUAGUGACGGUAUCCAACCAGAAAGCCACGGCUAACUACGUG